RNAcentral lists this ribosomal RNA (499 nucleotides) under uncultured bacterium. Its description in RNAcentral is "partial 16S ribosomal RNA". It matches the Rfam family "Bacterial small subunit ribosomal RNA", at positions 28 to 507 of the family's 1533-position model. The record is from RNAcentral.
GACGAACGCUGGCGGCGUGCCUAAUACAUGCAAGUCGAGCGAAGUUUUUCUGGUGCUUGCACUAGAAAAACUUAGCGGCGAACGGGUGAGUAACACGUAAAGAACCUGCCUCAUAGACUGGGACAACUAUUGGAAACGAUAGCUAAUACCGGAUAACAGUAUUUCUCGCAUGAGAGAUAUUUAAAAGUUGGUUAUGCUGACACUAUGAGAUGGCUUUGCGUUGCAUUAGCUAGUUGGUGGGGUAAAGGCCCACCAAGGCGACGAUGCAUAGCCGACCUGAGAGGGUGAUCGGCCACACUGGGACUGAGACACGGCCCAGACUCCUACGGGAGGCAGCAGUAGGGAAUCUUCCGCAAUGGGCGAAAGCCUGACGGAGCAACGCCGCGUGAGUGAAGAAGGAGUUCGGUUCGUAAAGCUCUGUUGUUAGGGAAGAAUGGAUAUGUAGUAACUAUACAUGUAAGAGACGGUACCUAACCAGAAAGCCACGGCUAACUACGUG